AUACGUAGGGGGCGAGCGUUGUCCGGAAUGAUUCGGCGUAAAGGGCGCGUAGGCGGCGCGGUAAGUCUGGAGUGAAAGUCCUGCUUUCAAGGUGGGAAUUGCUUUGGAUACUGCCGCGCUUGAGUGCAGGAGAGGUUAUCGGAAUUCCCGGUGUAGCGGUGAAAUGCGUAGAGAUCGGGAGGAACACCAGUGGCGAAGGCGGGUAACUGGACUGCAACUGACGCUGAGGCGCGAAAGUGUGGGGAGCAAACAGGAUUAGAUACCCUGGUAGUCCACACUGUAAACGAUGAAUGCUAGGUGUAAGAGGUAUCGACCCCUUUUGUGCCGGAGUCAACACAAUAAGCAUUCCGCCUGGGGAGUACGGCCGCAAGGUUGAAACUCAAAGGAAUUGACGGGG
This 397-nucleotide ribosomal RNA is filed under the name uncultured bacterium. Its description in RNAcentral is "partial 16S ribosomal RNA". It matches the Rfam family "Bacterial small subunit ribosomal RNA", at positions 523 to 918 of the family's 1533-position model. The record is from RNAcentral.